AAUGAAUCUCCGUGAUUUGCCCAAGGUCACACAACUAUCUGUAACAGGUCUUUAAGGAUCUGAACCUAGCCCUUCUGAUCCCAGUUCCAAAGUUCUAAGGACUCUAUUGUUAGCCAAGCUUCACCUCUGGCCCCAGGUGUUCCCAGCAUGUACAAGGUUUUUUCAUGGAAGCACUGAUUCUGUCUCUGUUAAUAUUUUUCCUGUAGCACUAUUAGCAUCAUUUUUGGACGUCCCAAUGGAAGCAGCCAUUUGCAUUGGAUACUGUGGUACCAACAGAAUGAUCACAAAGAGGGAAGAUGAUAGGAUGAGUGUGCACAAAGACACUUGUGCAUGAAGGAGAUUUAAGUGGAAAAGUCGAUGCACAGAGACAGUCCCACUCUCUCUGCGUUGGAAGCCUGGGUCCAGUGGCACGAAAAGUCGUUACACCUGGA
RNAcentral lists this long non-coding RNA (431 nucleotides) under Monodelphis domestica (gray short-tailed opossum). RNAcentral describes it as "lncRNA (ENSMODG00000045799.1)". Lineage: Eukaryota; Metazoa; Chordata; Mammalia; Didelphimorphia; Didelphidae. The record is from RNAcentral.